GAUGAACGCUGGCGGCAUGCCUUACACAUGCAAGUCGAACGGCAGCACGGGAGCAAUCCUGGUGGCGAGUGGCGAACGGGUGAGUAAAGUAUCGGAACGUGCCCAGUCGUGGGGGAUAACGUAGCGAAAGUUACGCUAAUACCGCAUACGAUCUAUGGAUGAAAGCGGGGGAUCGCAAGACCUCGCGCGAUUGGAGCGGCCGAUAUCAGAUUAGGUAGUUGGUGGGGUAAAGGCUCACCAAGCCGACGAUCUGUAGCUGGUCUGAGAGGACGAACAGCCACACGGGGACUGAGACACGGCCCAGACUCCUACGGGAGGCAGCAGUGGGGAAUUUUGGACAAUGGGCGAAAGCCUGAUCCAGCCAUGCCGCGUGCAGGAUGAAGGCCUUCGGGUUGUAAACUGCUUUUGUACGGAACGAAAAGGUUUGGCCUAAUAAGCUGAGCUCAUGACGGUACCGUAAGAAUAAGCACCGGCUAACUACGUGCCAGCAGCCGCAGUAA
RNAcentral lists this ribosomal RNA (500 nucleotides) under uncultured bacterium. RNAcentral describes it as "partial 16S ribosomal RNA". It matches the Rfam family "Bacterial small subunit ribosomal RNA", at positions 28 to 523 of the family's 1533-position model. The record is from RNAcentral.